RNAcentral lists this unclassified non-coding RNA (276 nucleotides) under uncultured fungus. Its description in RNAcentral is "partial contains small subunit ribosomal RNA, internal transcribed spacer 1, and 5.8S ribosomal RNA". The stretch from base 1 to 73 matches the Rfam family "Eukaryotic small subunit ribosomal RNA", at positions 1759 to 1831 of the family's 1831-position model. The record is from RNAcentral. Lineage: Eukaryota; Fungi.
GCAAACUUGGUCAUUUAGAGGAAGUAAAAGUCGUAACAAGGUCUCCGUUGGUGAACCAGCGGAGGGAUCAUUACAGAGUUGAAAAACUCCCUAAACCCACUGCAAAUCUACCUGUAUUGUUGCUUCGGCAGGCGGCCCCAGGGCGGGGCCAUGGCCUAGCGGUGCCUGCCGACAGCCUCCGAAACUCUGUUUUAAUACGGCUGUCUGAGUGUCUUAAAAUAAAUCAAAACUUUCAACAACGGAUCUCUUGGUUCUGGCAUCGAUGAAGAACGCAGC